GACUAUGGUUCCUUAGGUCAUAUUUGAUGGCCCAAAAAAACUUUUUUAGCGAUCCGGGUCUGGGAGGCCCAGGACCACUUGGAAUGCGUUGGCUAUAGCACACGAAAAUAUGGGAAUUAGGCAGAAUUCUACUUUUUUAGUCAUAAAACGCAAAAACAACGAGGAGAAGUCAUGACGGGGCGGUAACUGUGGUUCCUUAUGUCGUAUUUCAUGGCCCGAAAAAGGUUUUAGGGGAUCGGGGGGCCCGUGCCCACUCGGAAGGCAUGGGCUAUAGCACACAAAAAUAUGGGAAUCAGGCGGAAUUAUAUUUGGUUGGCCAUAAAAUGGCCAUUGCGGGGCGGUGACGUUGGUUCCUUAAGUCGUAUUUGAUGGCCUGGAAAAAUUUUAGGCGAUCGGGGUCCGGUGGGCUCGGGACCACUCGGAAGGCGUGGAGCGGUCAUGACGGGGAGGUGACUAUUGUUCCUUAGGUCAUAUUUGAUGGCCCGAAAAACUUUUAGGCGAUCCGGUUCCAGGGGGCCCGGGCUCACUCAGAAUGUGUGGGCUAUAGCACACGAAAAUAUGGGAAUCGGGCGGAAUUCUAGUUUUUUGGUCGUAAAAUGCAAAACAAACGAGGAACGGUCAUGAAGAGGCGGUGACUAUGGUUCCUUAGGUCGUAUUUGAUCGCCCAGAAAAAUGUUUAAGCGAUCCGCUUUUCUAGGGACCCGGGCCCACUCAGAAGGCGUAGGCUAUAGCACACGAAAAUAUGGGAAUCAGGCGCACGACGCAAACAACUAGAAGCCAUCAUGACAGGGUGGUGACUAUGGUUCCUUAGGUCAUAUUUAAUGGCCCAAAAAAAUUUUAGGCGAUCCGAUGAUGGGGGCUUGGGCCCACUCGGAAAGCGUGGGCUAUAGCACACGAAAAAUAUGGGAAUCG
RNAcentral lists this long non-coding RNA (912 nucleotides) under Nicotiana tabacum (common tobacco). Its description in RNAcentral is "long non-coding RNA (NTAB_LNC001381)". Lineage: Eukaryota; Viridiplantae; Streptophyta; Magnoliopsida; Solanales; Solanaceae. The record is from RNAcentral.